UUGCUAUAAUUGUCAGCUAAGUGGCGCACGGGUGAGUAAUGUAUAGAUAACCUGCCCUUAAGAAAGGAAUAACAGUUGGAAACGACUGCUAAUGCCCUAUAUGCCUUUAAUACAUAAGUAUGCAAGGGAAACGCUUUAGUGCUUAAGGAUGGGUCUGUAUGGUAUCAGCUUGUUGGUGAGGUAAUGGCUCACCAAGGCUAUGACGCCUAACUGGUUUGAGAGGAUGAUCAGUCACACUGGAACUGAGACACGGUCCAGACUCCUACGGGAGGCAGCAGUGGGGAAUAUUGCACAAUGGACGAAAGUCUGAUGCAGCAACGCCGCGUGGAGGAUGACACAUUUCGGUACGUAAACUCCUUUUAUAUAGGAAGAUAAUGACGGUACUAUAUGAAUAAGCACCGGCUAACUCCGUGCCAGCAGCCGCGGUAAUACGGAGGGUGCAAGCGUUACUCGGAAUCACUGGGCGUAAAGAGCGUGUAGGCGGGUAUAUAAGUCAGAAGUGAAAUCCAAUAGCUCAACUAUUGAACUGCUUUUGAAACUGUAUACCUAGAAUGUGGGAGAGGUAGAUGGAAUUUCUGGUGUAGGGGUAAAAUCCGUAGAGAUCAGAAGGAAUACCGAUUGCGAAGGCGAUCUACUGGAACAUUAUUGACGCUGAGACGCGAAAGCGUGGGGAGCAAACAGGAUUAGAUACCCUGGUAGUCCACGCCCUAAACGAUGUACACUAGUUGUUGUGAGGCUCGACCUUGCAGUAAUGCAGUUAACACAUUAAGUGUACCGCCUGGGGAGUACGGUCGCAAGAUU
RNAcentral lists this ribosomal RNA (801 nucleotides) under uncultured bacterium. RNAcentral's name for it is "bacterial SSU rRNA". It matches the Rfam family "Bacterial small subunit ribosomal RNA", at positions 73 to 895 of the family's 1533-position model. The record is from RNAcentral.